Molecule: ribosomal RNA, 1242 nt
Filed under: Candidatus Phytoplasma citri
Lineage: Bacteria; Bacillati; Mycoplasmatota; Mollicutes; Acholeplasmatales; Acholeplasmataceae
Description: bacterial SSU rRNA
Rfam family: Bacterial small subunit ribosomal RNA
Source: RNAcentral
GCUAAGACUGGAUAGGAAGAAAUAAGGCAUCUUUUUUCUUUUAAAAGACCUAGUGAUAGGUAUACUUUAGGAGGGGCUUGCGCCAUAUUAGUUAGUUGGUAGGGUAAUGGCCUACCAAGACGAUGAUGUGUAGCUGGACUGAGAGGUUGAACAGCCACAUUGGGACUGAGACACGGCCCAAACUCCUACGGGAGGCAGCAGUAGGGAAUUUUCGGCAAUGGAGGAAACUCUGACCGAGCAACGCCGCGUGAACGACGAAGUACUUUGGUAUGUAAAGUUCUUUUAUCAAGGAAGAAAAGCAAGUGGUGAACCAUUUGUUUGCCGGUACUUGAUGAAUAAGCCCCGGCUAAUUAUGUGCCAGCAGCCGCGGUAAGACAUAAGGGGCAAGUGUUAUCCGGAAUUAUUGGGCGUAAAGGGUGCGUAGGCGGUCUAGUAAGUCAGUGGUGUAAUGGCAACGCUCAACGUUGUCCGGCUAUUGAAACUGCUAAACUUGAGUUAGAUAGAGGCGAGUGGAAUUCCAUGUGUAGCGGUAAAAUGCGUAAAUAUAUGGAGGAACACCAGAGGCGUAGGCGGCUCGCUGGGUCUUAACUGACGCUGAGGCACGAAAGCGUGGGGAGCAAACAGGAUUAGAUACCCUGGUAGUCCACGCCGUAAACGAUGAGUACUAAGUGUCGGGUUAAACCGGUACUGAAGUUAACACAUUAAGUACUCCGCCUGAGUAGUACGUACGCAAGUAUGAAACUUAAAGGAAUUGACGGGACUCCGCACAAGCGGUGGAUCAUGUUGUUUAAUUUGAAAGAUACCCCAAAAAACCUUACCAAGGUCUUGACAUGUUUUUGCGAAACCGGUAGUAAUAUCGUGGAGGUUAUCAGAAACACAGGUGGUGCAUGGUUGUCGUCAGCUCGUGUCGUGAGAUGUUAGGUUAAGUCCUAAAACGAGCGAAACCCUUAUCGUUAGUUGCCAGCACGUUAUGGUGGGGACUUUAACGAGACUGCCAGUGAUAAAUUGGAGGAAGGUGAGGAUCACGUCAAAUCAGCAUGCCCCUUAUGACCUGGGCUACAAACGUGAUACAAUGGCUGUUACAAAGGGUAGCUGAAACGCAAGUUCUUGGCCAAUCCCCAAAAACAGUCUCAGUCCGGAUUGAAGUCUGCAACUCGACUUCAUGAAGUUGGAAUCGCUAGUAAUCGCGAAUCAGCAUGUCGCGGUGAAUACGUUCUCGGGGUUUGUACACACCGCCCGUCA